RNAcentral lists this ribosomal RNA (963 nucleotides) under uncultured bacterium. RNAcentral describes it as "bacterial SSU rRNA". It matches the Rfam family "Bacterial small subunit ribosomal RNA", at positions 535 to 1500 of the family's 1533-position model. The record is from RNAcentral.
GGGCCGGUUUUCGGGAUUCCUGGGCGUAAGGGUGCGUAGGUGGUGAGGUAAGUCGGAUGUGAAAUCUCGGAGCUCAACUCCGAAACGGCAUUGGAAACUACCUCGCUCGAGGAUUGGAGGGGGGACUGGAAUUCUCGGUGUAGCAGUGAAAUGCGUAGAUAUCGAGAGGAACACCAGUGGCGAAGGCGAGUCCCUGGACAAUCCCUGACACUGAGGCACGAAAGCUAGGGGAGCAAACAGGAUUAGAUACCCUGGUAGUCCUAGCCGUAAACGGUGCAUGCUUGCUGUAAAAGGAAUCGACCCCUUUUGUGGCGGAGCCAACGCGUUAAGCAUGCCGCCUGGGAAGUACGGUCGCAAGAUUAAAACUCAAAGAAAUUGACGGGGGCCUGCACAAGCGGUGGAGUAUGUGGCUCAAUUCGAUGCAACGCGAAGAACCUUACCUGGCCUUGACAUGCACGUAGUAGAAGGAUGAAAGUCUGACGAGAUAGCAAUAUCAGCGUGCACAGGUGCUGCAUGGCUGUCGUCAGCUCGUGUCGUGAGAUGUUGGGUUAAGUCCCGCAACGAGCGCAACCCUUGUGUCCUGUUGCCACCCCCACGCGAGUGGGGAGCACUCUGGACAGACUGCCUCGCUUAAACGAGGAGGAAGGUGGGGAUGACGUCAAGUCAGUAUGGCCCUUACGGCCAGGGCUGCACACGUACUACAAUGCCCGGCACAAAGGGAAGCGAGACCGUCAGGUGGAGCAAAUCCCCUAAAACCGGGCCCAGUUCAGAUUGUCGUCUGCAACUCGACGGCAUGAAGCUGGAAUCGCUAGUAAUGGCGCAUCAGCUACGGCGCCGUGAAUACGUUCCCAGGCCUUGUACACACCGCCCGUCACAUCAUGAAAGCCGUUUGUACCCGAAGUCACCCCUUAAAAGGCGCCGAAGGUAUGGAUGGUGAUUGGGAUGAAGUCGUAACAAGGUAAC